UUUGGAUAAAAGGAAAUCAUCCCCUAGAAGCUGGAAGCCCAAGCUUGUUUUCGUCAGUAAACAACAGCUCUUAGACAUGGUGCUUGACUUUUUUUCUGACUCAUAUCCAUAUAGAACCCGUCAUGCUGUGCUGUAUACUCAAGCCACAAUCAACUGAAGUUGCUCAUUGCCUAAAUUGUUAUUCCUUAUUUGAUAAGGCAUUUGUACCCAUUAAAGCAGAUUCCUGACUCAA
Panthera uncia (snow leopard) is the source of this 232-nucleotide long non-coding RNA. RefSeq lists it as uncharacterized. The record is from RefSeq and is a predicted model, not a curated record. The transcript is spliced from 2 exons. NCBI's taxonomy places the organism in Eukaryota, Metazoa, Chordata, Mammalia, Carnivora, Felidae.